RNAcentral lists this transfer RNA (76 nucleotides) under Hordeum vulgare. RNAcentral describes it as "tRNA-Asn". The record is from RNAcentral. Lineage: Eukaryota; Viridiplantae; Streptophyta; Magnoliopsida; Poales; Poaceae.
GUAUCGAUUCAUAGCCUAGUGGUGUAUGGUGUUGCUGCCUGUUGAGAGGGCGCGGGUUCGAUCCCCCCUCGACACU